UGGGGAAUAUUGCGCAAUGGGGGGAACCCUGACGCAGCCAUGCCGCGUGAAUGAAGAAGGCCUUAGGGUUGUAAAGUUCUUUCGGUAUUGAGGAAGGUUGAUGUGUUAAUAGCACAUCAAAUUGACGUUAAAUACAGAAGAAGCACCGGCUAACUCCGUGCCAGCAGCCGCGGUAAUACGGAGGGUGCGAGCGUUAAUCGGAAUAACUGGGCGUAAAGGGCACGCAGGCGGUUAUUUAAGUGAGGUGUGAAAGCCCCGGGCUUAACCUGGGAAUUGCAUUUCAGACUGGGUAACUAGAGUACUUUAGGGAGGGGUAGAAUUCCACGUGUAGCGGUGAAAUGCGUAGAGAUGUGGAGGAAUACCGAAGGCGAAGGCAGCCCCUUGGGAAUGUACUGACGCUCAUGUGCGAAAGCGUGGGGAGCAAACAGGAUUAGAUACCCUGGUAGUCCACGCUGUAAACGCUGUCGAUUUGGGGGUUGGGGCUUAACUCUGGCGCCCGUAGCUAACGUGAUAAAUCGACCGCCUGGGGAGUACGGCCGCAAGGUU
Molecule: ribosomal RNA, 546 nt
Filed under: uncultured bacterium
Lineage: Bacteria
Description: bacterial SSU rRNA
Rfam family: Bacterial small subunit ribosomal RNA
Source: RNAcentral